RNAcentral lists this ribosomal RNA (119 nucleotides) under Aegilops tauschii subsp. strangulata. The record is from RNAcentral. Lineage: Eukaryota; Viridiplantae; Streptophyta; Magnoliopsida; Poales; Poaceae.
GGAUGCGAUCAUACCAGCACUAAAGCACCGGAUCCCAUCAGAACUCCGAAGUGAAGCGUGCUUGGGCGAGAGUAGUACUUGGAUGGGUGACCUCCUGGAAAGUCCUCGUGUUGCAUUCC